GACGAACGCUGGCGGCGUGCUUAACACAUGCAAGUCGAACGGAAAGGCCCUGCUUUUGUGGGGUGCUCGAGUGGCGAACGGGUGAGUAACACGUGAGUAACCUGCCCUUGACUUUGGGAUAACUUCAGGAAACUGGGGCUAAUACCGGAUAGGAGCUCCUGCUGCAUGGUGGGGGUUGGAAAGUUUCGGCGGUUGGGGAUGGACUCGCGGCUUAUCAGCUUGUUGGUGGGGUAGUGGCUUACCAAGGCUUUGACGGGUAGCCGGCCUGAGAGGGUGACCGGCCACAUUGGGACUGCGAUACGGCCCAGACUCCGACGGGAGGCAGCAGUGGGGAAUAUUGCACAAUGGGCGGAAGCCUGAUGCAGCAACGCCGCGGGCGGGACGACGGCCUUCGGGUUGUAAACCGCUUUCGCCUGUGACGAAGCGUGAGUGACGGUAAUGGGUAAAGAAGCACCGGCUAACUACGUGC
Molecule: ribosomal RNA, 469 nt
Filed under: uncultured bacterium
Lineage: Bacteria
Description: partial 16S ribosomal RNA
Rfam family: Bacterial small subunit ribosomal RNA
Source: RNAcentral